UGAAUGUCCCUGUUAUUCAUGGUUAUGAUUCUUGUGUUACAAUGGUUAUGUUGGACGUGAUUUCAAUUUAACAGGUGAGCGCGUCUCUGAACAUGAUGCUUUAAAUGCAUAGGAUUGAGCACUUGUGUGCUGGAAUACUGGUAGGUCAAGGGAAGGCCGCUACGGAUUUAUCAUUUAUAGCAAUAACUUUUUUUUUCACUUGAUCAUUUUAAAUUCAUUUAUAGUACAAUCUUAAUACAUAUUAUAAAGAACACUCUUAGCCUCGAGCGACAUUGCUUCUAAUGACA
This 287-nucleotide unclassified non-coding RNA is filed under the name Hevea brasiliensis (rubber tree). The record is from RNAcentral. Lineage: Eukaryota; Viridiplantae; Streptophyta; Magnoliopsida; Malpighiales; Euphorbiaceae.